RNAcentral lists this ribosomal RNA (465 nucleotides) under Vreelandella stevensii. RNAcentral describes it as "partial 16S ribosomal RNA". It matches the Rfam family "Bacterial small subunit ribosomal RNA", at positions 338 to 795 of the family's 1533-position model. Lineage: Bacteria; Pseudomonadati; Pseudomonadota; Gammaproteobacteria; Oceanospirillales; Halomonadaceae. The record is from RNAcentral.
CCUACGGGAGGCUGCAGUGGGGAAUAUUGGACAAUGGGGGCAACCCUGAUCCAGCCAUGCCGCGUGUGUGAAGAAGGCCCUCGGGUUGUAAAGCACUUUCAGUGAGGAAGAACGCCUGGUGGUUAAUACCCAUCAGGAAAGACAUCACUCACAGAAGAAGCACCGGCUAACUCCGUGCCAGCAGCCGCGGUAAUACGGAGGGUGCGAGCGUUAAUCGGAAUUACUGGGCGUAAAGCGCGCGUAGGUGGCUUGAUAAGCCGGUUGUGAAAGCCACGGGCUCAACCUGGGAACGGCAUCCGGAACUGUCAAGCUAGAGUGCAGGAGAGGAAGGUAGAAUUCACGGUGUAGCGGUGAAAUGCGUAGAGAUCGGGAGGAAUACCAGUGGCGAAGGCGGCCUUCUGGACUGACACUGACACUGAGGUGCGAAAGCGUGGGUAGCAAACAGGAUUAGAUACCCCGGUAGUC